CACACAGCUAUUUUCUCACAGCUGUAAUUACAGCUCACUGUCACACUAGCUGAACCAUCUCAUCUUGCUGGAGGAGAAAUAUUAGAUGAACCUAUACAGUGCCUAGUGCUUUUAUGCUCCACUUUUAUCCUCAUCCCUGAAGUUGUCUGACCUGUGGAAGUGCUGCUGAAACACUGCCGUAUUUCUUAAUGCAAGGUAAGCUGGAAACCUUGAUCAUUUCAGAAGAUGAAGCUAAGCACUAACCUGUUUAACAGUUUAAACUGCAUCAACUGAAGCUUCAAUGAUACAAUUUUGUGCAAUAGAAAAAGUUGCAGCAGUGCCACAGCUUCCUAAGCCUGUGAUUUCUACCUAACUCAAAAUGAAUGCAUGUACCAUUUCAGCAGGUGGUUUCAAGCACUUUCAGUAAAUGGAGGCAAUUUUGUGUUGCUAUUCUGUACCAUCAGCAAGUUUCAUAACAACUCCAUCCUGAAACUGCAGAAAAGAGCUACAGCACCAGAGUCUGUGCUACAGAUCAUUCAGAGUGUUGGUCUGGAUGCAUAUUGUGUCUACUCACUGAUACAGCAAGUGGAUCAGAAAUGCUAAUGAAACCUGGCUAACGAGACCUUUACCCGUAUGUCCUUGUCUGCAAAUGAACUGGAUUUCACCUGUUGGGACUGAGGUCCACAAGAACAAUUUUUAGCACAAUAAGCAUCUUUCAAAACUUUUCUGAAGCUUAUCUUAAUUAGGCUUUGUGGUUGUGUGAGAGGUAGAUUGUGUUUUUGCAGUGGAAAUUUCCAGUAUUUCUGUAUGUAGCAUAGGAUAAGUUACCUUUCACAAAGGAAGGUACUGAACAGAGUAAAGUUGAGACUGGGGCGUUCCGACCUAGGUAAAACUGGCACAGGCACUAGGUAAGGUAAUUACAUAGUGUAGGGGAGAGUCCAGUACAGAAUAGAACUAGUGUGCAGAUUGUUUAAAAUAUUGUCCUCCUAUCGCCAUAAAAAGUACAGAACAUACCCAAAGACAAUGGAUUGGUAACAGACAUUGUAUGGAAGUUUAAUGUAACUAUGGAAGGGUAACGUAGCUAUGGAAGCAUAAUGUAGCAAAGGAAGUGUAGCAUAGCUAUGGAAGUGUAAUGUAGCAACAGCGUUGGAAGACUGUAAGCCUGAGACACUCAACCAAUGAGUGCCAGGAGAGAUUCUACCUGCGUCGGACCCAGGGUAUAUAACAGAAUGGAUUUCACUGACUAGUUGCGCAAUUUCUCCUUUGUCAGUAGGGGGUGGGCGCCCAUUAUUGCAAUAAUGAUAAACUGCUUUUCACAGAGAUCUUUGCCUGAUAAGAAAUUUUUGAUCUUGAGUGCAUUUCUCACAGUCGCUACAGAAAACAACUCAAUCUGCUUACCUCAGGAGAGAAUCUUAUAUAUCUAACUAUAUAACUACUACAACUAUAAUCUCCAGUUCCACAUUCGCUAUUGGAGUGCAAACAGACAAUAACUUUCCUUAAAGUUUCAGGACUUGGAAAAAUACUGUGUCACUUCAGUUCCUGCUCUACAAAUGGUCAGGCUCAAAAAUGAAAGAUCAAAGUUUUCCACCAUGAAAUGCGAAGACCUCACACUGCUUUGCACCUGGCACAAAAGUACACACAUCAAAAUCUGGAGUUACUGAGUUUUGCCAGAUACCAUUUCAUGCUCAUUACCAAAGAACUCCAGGAUAUUCCAAUGCCUGCAGGAAAAUAUCAUGUUUUGGCUCCAGGUUCAGAAGAUGGGCUUUGUCACUGUUUUUUGUUUUGUUUUGUUUUUCUUUUUUAUUCUUUUUCUUUUUCUUCUUUCUCCUGCUUAUUUAGUGGAGAUGUGAAAAAUCUCUGAGCAUAUGGGGUUUUCAAAUUUAUCUUGAUAUAAUUCGUCAACACAGAACUGUUUUCUGACCCAGAUGGAAGCCAGAAAGGGUUAUGAACGUCAACAGAAAUCAGCUUUUGCAACUCAGUGUGGCACAAAAGCACCUGUUCUUUGCUGGCCAAGACACAGUUAAUAAACAUUACUAUUAGGAUCAAGAACUGUUGUCAAAACAGCGUAAUGAGAUUCAGAUAUUUGGUGAACUUUGUCACAUCCAUUCCAACUAAGAGGAUUCCAGAUACUCCAGUGCAACAUCAUAGCAGAAGCGAUACUGCUCCUUUAAGGGAGAAAGGGAAAAAAGUAAUAGAGAAAAAGUUAAAUUGAUGUUCUAAAUCAUUAAAGAGCGGCAAUGACUACAAACAAGAAUAGCCUUUUCUGACUACUAAACAAUUUUAAAUUCAAGACUGACACACUUGGGUUGGGUUCCUUUUUUUUCCACUUUUCACUUUUCUUCUUUCACCCCUCUAUUACACAAGUGUAUUACCAGCUCUGACUUAUAAACAAACCAUAACCAACGAAAUAUAAAGAAAUAAACCUGACCAUGAAAUGCAA
Non-coding RNA from Phasianus colchicus (ring-necked pheasant), 2419 nucleotides. The record is from RefSeq and is a predicted model, not a curated record. NCBI's taxonomy places the organism in Eukaryota, Metazoa, Chordata, Aves, Galliformes, Phasianidae.